RNAcentral lists this ribosomal RNA (260 nucleotides) under uncultured prokaryote. RNAcentral's name for it is "partial 16S ribosomal RNA". It matches the Rfam family "Bacterial small subunit ribosomal RNA", at positions 524 to 782 of the family's 1533-position model. The record is from RNAcentral.
UACGUAGGGUGCGAGCGUUGUCCGGAAUUACUGGGCGUAAAGAGCUCGUAGGUGGUUUGUCACGUCGUCUGUGAAAUUCCGGGGCUUAACCUCGGGUGUGCAGGCGAUACGGGCAAUACUUGAGUGCUGUAGGGGAGACUGGAAUUCCUGGUGUAGCGGUGAAAUGCGCAGAUAUCAGGAGGAACACCAAUGGCGAAGGCAGGUCUCUGGGCAGUUACUGACGCUGAGGAGCGAAAGCAUGGGUAGCGAACAGGAUUAGA